RNAcentral lists this long non-coding RNA (1207 nucleotides) under Ictidomys tridecemlineatus (thirteen-lined ground squirrel). Its description in RNAcentral is "lncRNA (ENSSTOG00000031000.1)". Lineage: Eukaryota; Metazoa; Chordata; Mammalia; Rodentia; Sciuridae. The record is from RNAcentral.
ACGUCUGCAGAAGAGAAAGACAAAAGUCGGUGCCGGCAGCUUGGUCCACACACAACACCCCCCACACCCGCCCAUCGGAUCUCACACAGAUGCCUCGGCCUGAUCAGAAGGCAUCCGAAGUUUGUCAAUAAAGGUGAAGUUUAUUGCUUGAAGGUCUGGCCAGCCAGAGAAACAGUUGCAGAUUAUAGAAACUCUGUCAUCUCCCAGAGAAGACUAAUAAUUCCAAAUAUCGACUUCACACGCACAGCAAAGGUGAAAGCUAAGGUGUUGGAGGAGUGGUCGGGAGGCACACAACGGGUCUGUCACGGUGGCCAGUGGGAGGAACGCACACAGAGCCUUGGAGGGCAGACGUGCCUAGAUUUGAAUUCUCCCUCUCCUAUGAGGAGCUAUGUGACAGCAUGUCAGAAGGUUCCCGGGCACGGCUGGACCUCUGGUCAGUGGGUCACGUAUGCUGUGGUCACCUGACAUGUGACAGGUUUUGCUUCCUCCUUCCCAUCUCAGGCAAGGCAAGAUCACUAUGAAAUUUACCCUCAAGAUGAUAUGGAUGAUUUUCCUUUUCUGAGCGCGGGCUACAUGUCAAGAAUCCAGCUAAGCCCUCAGUGUGCCAUAUUUCACUAAAUCCUUCCAACAACCUCUUUUUCCGACAGAUCACAGAACUGUGCCUUGGAGAAGCUCAAUAACUUGCCCAGCCUUGCGAACAGAGCCAGGGCUCCAACCCAAGCUUGUUUUAAGCAGAUGCUCGAGCUGUUUAACCACUAGGCAGCCCUGCCUCCUUCGCCACGUCCCAAGACAACUGGUGUUGAGAAAAUAUAAACUGGUGUUGUUAAUUUAUAUUUUAAUGGUAACAUUCCCUCACCUGGAAAUCUAUGCUUAUGCAAAACCAACAAGGAAAAUUUAAGGGUGGAAAGAUCAGGAGACAUCAGCUAAGGCCGUGUUAAAAAAAAAAAAAAUCAGCCAGGCUGAUCUGAUAUCAUGAUGGAAAGGAAAUUACUAGAAGCUCACUGUCCUAAAAAAAAAAAAAAAAUUGAACUUUUUGUAAAAAGAUUGCUGCCAGUAUAUAAAUCAAGUCCCCUUUCUAAAUUAUACUCUCUUUAGGUUGUGUCCUUAAUGACCCUCCACUGGCUCCCUGUCCCAUAUAGAGUGGUGUGGAUCUCUUGCUUGACACAGUUGCAGAAAACUCUGGUCUCCCACAGCCCUCCCAGAGCCC